This 99-nucleotide signal recognition particle RNA is filed under the name Spirochaetaceae bacterium. RNAcentral's name for it is "signal recognition particle sRNA small type". It matches the Rfam family "Bacterial small signal recognition particle RNA". From Rfam's summary of the family: The signal recognition particle (SRP) is a universally conserved ribonucleoprotein involved in the co-translational targeting of proteins to membranes. Archaeal SRP consists of a 7S RNA and homologues of the eukaryotic SRP19 and SRP54 proteins. The record is from RNAcentral. Lineage: Bacteria; Pseudomonadati; Spirochaetota; Spirochaetia; Spirochaetales; Spirochaetaceae.
UGCCAGGAACCAUGCGGAAGGCGGCCGCCCAACCCCGUCAGGUCCGGAAGGAAGCAGCGGUAAGCGGUUAGCUUUUGCGCCGUGGAGCUCCUGGCGGGG